RNAcentral lists this unclassified non-coding RNA (375 nucleotides) under soil metagenome. Its description in RNAcentral is "partial contains 5.8S ribosomal RNA, internal transcribed spacer 2, and large subunit ribosomal RNA". The stretch from base 1 to 120 matches the Rfam family "5.8S ribosomal RNA", at positions 35 to 154 of the family's 154-position model. The record is from RNAcentral.
GAUGAAGAACGUAGCGAAAUGCGAUAAGUAAUGUGAAUUGCAGAAUUCAGAGAACCAUCGAAUCUUUGAACGCACAUUGCGCCCGGCAGUAAUCUGCCGGGCAUGCCUGUCCGAGCGUCAUUUCUCCCCUCGAGCGCAGCUUUCCCCCCCGGGGGAGGGCCGCGCCCGGUGUUGGGGCGCUACGGAGGAGCCCAGCGCUCCCCCGUAGGCCCCGAAAUGUAGUGGCGGUCCCGCCGCGGCGCCCCCUGCGUAGUAGUUUUACAACUCGCAUCGGGUCCCGGCGGAGGCCAGCCGUCAAACCCCCCAACUUCAAUAGUUUGACCUCGGAUCAGGUAGGGUUACCCGCUGAACUUAAGCAUAUCAAUAAGCGGAGGA